This 928-nucleotide long non-coding RNA is filed under the name Panax ginseng (ginseng). RNAcentral's name for it is "long non-coding RNA (PGIN_LNC009846)". The record is from RNAcentral. Lineage: Eukaryota; Viridiplantae; Streptophyta; Magnoliopsida; Apiales; Araliaceae.
UGGUGCAUUGCCAAUGCAUAAAGCAAAAGAUAACAAUUAACAAAGUACUAAGUAGUGGGAUUAAGUGCCUUGACUAUUAUGUAGGAAUCAAGUAACAAAUCCAAAGCAGGGGUGAGCCCAUUUUUCUGCUUAGCAGUGUUGUUACUAUUUAAUUAUCGCACUACACAAAACCUUUUCAUCAUUGUCUUUAAUUUACACCAACUCAUUACCAAAAACUUACUACGAUUAUUGGUACGUCACAACUGUAGACCAUUCUUCAUGUCUCCAACAGAAAAGGCAGCAGCUUCUGAUGUAAGCUAAUCGAUACACCAUAAUCAUCCACCCUGCAAAACAUGACUAAGUUAGGUACUAUAGAAGAAAUGUAUUCAUGCAAUUUAUUGUGGACUUCAAUCCUUACGAGGAGUUCCAAUUUAAAGGUAAAGCUAAAUAUAAAAACAUCAUUAUGCCACAUCCAAUACCAUCGAUAAGUUAAAACUAGACAUGGUAAACCAACAAGACAUGUUGCUGAAGGAAUUUUUGUAGAUCAUUGCAAAAACAACUCCAUCACAAUAGUGAUCCUUACACUUUGGCAAACAAUAAGGCUGCAUAAAUUACUAAUGUUUUUUUUAGUGUUGUCUGAGGUGGAGUCAUCAAUAGUCCAACUUAUCAGGAUAUUGUUCACCGUGUAAGAUUCUUCAGUAAUUAGUAUGUCCAUGCAUAUUAUUAGUGGAACCCUGAAUUUCGUUCCUACGUGGCAGAUUGAGAAAGGUAAAAAAUAAAAGGCAUUUAAAAUAAUGUUCCAUCCAUUAUAUAUAGAUGUAGCUACCAUUUAAGAAGUCUAACGAGCCAUACCUGAAGUUCUCAGCAAGUUGAACCACGAAGCAUGACCACAAGCGAACUGUUUAUCAGGGCAAAGCCCUUCCUUGCUGUUAUUUUCUUGCAGUUUGGG